GGGCCUGUAGCUCAGUUGGCUAGAGCGCUGCAUUCGCAUUGCAGAGGCCGGCGGUUCGACUCCGCCCAGGUCCACCC
RNAcentral lists this transfer RNA (77 nucleotides) under Candidatus Chazhemtobacterium aquaticus. Its description in RNAcentral is "tRNA-Ala". It matches the Rfam family "tRNA". Rfam says of the family: Transfer RNA (tRNA) molecules are approximately 80 nucleotides in length. Their secondary structure includes four short double-helical elements and three loops (D, anti-codon, and T loops). The record is from RNAcentral. Lineage: Bacteria; Candidatus Chazhemtobacteraceae.